RNAcentral lists this ribosomal RNA (466 nucleotides) under uncultured bacterium ECS50. RNAcentral describes it as "bacterial SSU rRNA". It matches the Rfam family "Bacterial small subunit ribosomal RNA", at positions 1017 to 1482 of the family's 1533-position model. The record is from RNAcentral.
UUUACUUGGACGGUUACACAGGUGCUGCAUUGCUGUCGUCAGCUCGUUGUCGUGAGAUGUUGGGUUAAGUCCUUUAACGAGCGCAACCCUUACCGUUAGUUGCUAUCCAUUCGUGGAGCACUCUAGCGGGACUGCCUGGGGAACCAGGAGGAAGGUGGGGAUGACGUCAAGUCCUCAUGGCCCUUAUGCCUAGGGCAACACACGUGUUACAAUGGCGAGUACAAAGAGAUGCGAAGUCGCGAGGCCAAGCCAAUCUCAUAAAGCUCGUCUCAGUUCGGAUUGAAGUCUGCAACUCGACUUCAUGAAGCUGAAAUCGCUAGUAAUCGCAUAUCAGAACGAUGCGGUGAAUACGUUCUCGGACCUUGUACACACCGCCCGUCACACCACGAGAAUUGUCUAUACCCGAAAUCACCUUAGCUAACCUUUUAGGAGGCGGGUGCUGACGGUAUGGAGAGUGAUUGGGGUG